GAUUUCUGACUUUGAUAUGUCUGGCCCGCCGAGGUUACUCGUGUGAGUGCUGGAACAUGUCGGUCAUCCUUCUAGACAGCGGUCCUACCCUUAACUGGGCCGGGAUGUCUGCCAUCUAGAUCUUUUACUUUGAAAAAAUUAGAGUGUUUCAAGCAGGCGAUUGCUAUGAAUACAUUAGCAUGGAAUAAUAAUAUAGGACUUCGGUUCUAUUUUGUUGGUUUCUAGGACUGAAGUAAUGAUUGAUAGGGAUAGUUGGGGGUGCUAGUAUUCAGUGGCCAGAGGUGAAAUUCUUGGAUUCACUGAAGACUAACUAAUGCGAAAGCAUU
This 326-nucleotide ribosomal RNA is filed under the name Allapsidae sp. Its description in RNAcentral is "SSU rRNA". The stretch from base 108 to 326 matches the Rfam family "Eukaryotic small subunit ribosomal RNA", at positions 735 to 955 of the family's 1831-position model. The record is from RNAcentral. Lineage: Eukaryota; Cercozoa; Glissomonadida; Viridiraptoridae.